UACGACUACAUAUCAGGCAUAUCAAUAAGCGGAGGAAAAGAAACUAACAAGGAUUCCCUUAGUAACGGCGAGUGAAGCGGGAAGAGCUCAAAUUUGAAAUCUUCAAGGUUCUACCUUGACGAAUUGUAGUUUAAAGAAGUGUUUUCUGUUAGAUGAGUAGCAAAAGUUCCUUGGAAUGGGGACAUCAUAGAGGGUGAGAAUCCCGUAUUUGGUUAUUCAUUCUAGCUUUGUGAUACACUUUCAAAGAGUCGGAUUGUUUGGGAAUGCAGUCCAAAAUGGGUGGUAAAUUUCAUCUAAAGCUAAAUAUUGGCGAGAGACCGAUAGCGAACAAGUACCGUGAGGGAAAGAUGAAAAGAACUUUGAAAAGAGAGUUAAACAGUACGUGAAAUUGUCAAAAGGGAAGCGUUUGACACCAGUGUUGUUUUUCCGAAAAUCAAUUACGAAUGGCUUGAUUUUGUGUUGUAUUGACCUUAUCAGCUUUCUGCACUUUUUUCGAGUCUUUCUUAAUGCACUUUUCGGUUAACAAGUCAACAUCAAUUUCUUUUGUUGUAAAAGAGUAUUCGGAAGGUGGCUUUCUUUUCGGAGAAAGUGUUUAUAGCCCUAUACUUCUACAAUCGGAGAGAUUGAGGUCUGCAGCGUAGAUCCUUCGGGGUUAGAUACACUUGUGCUAAGUUGUAGCUUUUCAUAGACAACUUGUUGACUAUGUUUAGUCAUGCGGCUCACUCGCUUGUGCUAUUUUACCUACGCUUAGGAUGUUGAGUAGCGACAUACGCAC
Molecule: ribosomal RNA, 775 nt
Filed under: uncultured Neocallimastigales
Lineage: Eukaryota; Fungi; Neocallimastigomycota; Neocallimastigomycetes; Neocallimastigales
Description: partial large subunit ribosomal RNA
Rfam family: Eukaryotic large subunit ribosomal RNA
Source: RNAcentral